CCUACGGGGGGCAGCAGUGAGGAAUAUUGGUCAAUGGACGCAAGUCUGAACCAGCCAUGCCGCGUGCAGGAAGACGGCUCUAUGAGUUGUAAACUGCUUUUGUACGAGGGUAAACGCAGAUACGCGUAUCUGUCUGAAAGUAUCGUACGAAUACGGAUCGGCUAACUCCGUGCCAGCCGCCCCGGUAAUACGGAGGGUUCAAGCGUUAUCCGGAUUUAUUGGGUUUAAAGGGUGCGUAGGCGGUCGGAUAAGUUAGAGGUGAAAUCCCGAGGCUCAACUUCGGAAUUGCCUCUGAUACUGUUCGGCUAGAGAGUAGUUGCGGUAGGCGGAAUGUAUGGUGUAGCGGUGAAAUGCUUAGAGAUCAUACAGAACACCGAUGGCGAAGGCAGCUUACCAAGCUACUUCUGACGUUGAGGCACGAAAGCGUGGGGAGCAAACAGGAUUAGAUACCCCUGUAGUC
RNAcentral lists this ribosomal RNA (460 nucleotides) under uncultured bacterium. Its description in RNAcentral is "partial 16S ribosomal RNA". It matches the Rfam family "Bacterial small subunit ribosomal RNA", at positions 338 to 795 of the family's 1533-position model. The record is from RNAcentral.